RNAcentral lists this ribosomal RNA (397 nucleotides) under uncultured bacterium. Its description in RNAcentral is "partial 16S ribosomal RNA". It matches the Rfam family "Bacterial small subunit ribosomal RNA", at positions 523 to 918 of the family's 1533-position model. The record is from RNAcentral.
AUACGUAGGUGGCAAGCGUUGUCCGGAUUUAUUGGGCGUAAAGCGAGCGCAGGCGGUUUCUUAAGUCUGAUGUGAAAGCCCCCGGCUCGACCGGGGAGGGUCAUUGGAAACUGGGAGACUUGAGUGCAGAAGAGGAGAGUGGAAUUCCAUGUGUAGCGGUGAAAUGCGUAGAUAUAUGGAGGAACACCAGUGGCGAAGGCGACUCUCUGGUCUGUAACUGACGCUGAGGCUCGAAAGCGUGGGGAGCAAACAGGAUUAGAUCCCCUGGUAGUCCACGCCGUAAACGAUGAGUGCUAAGUGUUGGAGGGUUUCCGCCCUUCAGUGCUGCAGCUAACGCAUUAAGCACUCCGCCUGGGGAGUACGACCGCAAGGUUGAAACUCAAAUGAAUUGACGGGG